ACGCUAAAGUACGAUGGUCUCGCUAAAGUGCGAUGGUCUACGCUAAAGUCCGAUGCCUCCAUUCGCUAAAGUGCGAUGGUCCGCGAAAGUAUAGACGUACGAAACGUAGUGUGAUUAUGACGUUAACAUUCGUUUAUACAAACCAAAAAUGAACAUGCCGGUAGAUGAAAUAAAUAAUGGAAGCGAACAGAUGCAUAUUAAU
This 202-nucleotide long non-coding RNA is filed under the name Mytilus galloprovincialis (Mediterranean mussel). The record is from RNAcentral. Lineage: Eukaryota; Metazoa; Mollusca; Bivalvia; Mytilida; Mytilidae.